AUUGAACGCUGGCGGCAGGCCUAACACAUGCAAGUCGAACGAGUGGCGGACGGGUGAGUAAUGUCUGGGCAACUGCCUGAUGGAGGGGGAUAACUACUGGAAACGGUAGCUACUACCGCAUACCAUCGGAUGUGCCGAGAUGGGAUUAGCUAGUAGGUGGGGUAAAGGCUCACCUAGGCGACGAUCCCUAGCUGGUCUGAGAGGAUGACCAGCCCCACUGGAAAUGAGACACGGGCCAGGCUCCUACGGGAGGCAGCAGGGGGGAAUAUUGCACAAUGGGCGCAAGCCUUAUGCAGCCAUGGCGGGUGUAUGAAGAAAGCCUUCGGGUUGUAAAGUACUUUCAGCGGGGGGGCGUUACCCGCAGAAGAAGCACCGGCUAACUCCGUGCCAGCAGCCGCGGUAAUUC
This 406-nucleotide ribosomal RNA is filed under the name uncultured bacterium. RNAcentral's name for it is "partial 16S ribosomal RNA". It matches the Rfam family "Bacterial small subunit ribosomal RNA", at positions 30 to 526 of the family's 1533-position model. The record is from RNAcentral.